CAAACUAUUUGUUACUUACUUGAUUCAAUCAGGGGAUUGAAUCAAGGGUGUUAAGGUUUGUUGGUGAGCCAAGGUUAAAACCAACGGUGUAAGGGUUUGAUUGUGAUCCCGGAAAAACAAUCGGGUAGUUCUAGUCGGUGAGCCUGUAAAAACCGACCGAGUUCGUUGUGAUCUCGUAAAACAACAAGUUGGGUUGUGAACUUGUAAAACAACCGGCUGUAAUCCGAGGGAUUAUAGUGAACUCCCAAGUGAGGCUUGGGGAGUGGACGUAGGAGCAAGGGUUAGCUCCGAACCACUAUAAAAUUGCUUGUGUUUGUGAUUGUUUCAUUAUCUCUUUCUUUCCCUUCAUCCACUGCAUAUAGCAACUAAUUAAU
RNAcentral lists this long non-coding RNA (374 nucleotides) under Phoenix dactylifera (date palm). RNAcentral describes it as "long non-coding RNA (PDAC_LNC010103)". Lineage: Eukaryota; Viridiplantae; Streptophyta; Magnoliopsida; Arecales; Arecaceae. The record is from RNAcentral.